GGCUGAGACUCGAACUGUAGCCUUAAUGGCGUGCGUGCCCUAGCGGGAUAGAGUCUCAGUUUUUU
Molecule: non-coding RNA, 65 nt
Filed under: unclassified sequences
Description: DUF3800-IX RNA
Rfam family: DUF3800-IX RNA
About the family: Actinobacteria, Firmicutes (1 example), Nitrospirae, Proteobacteria, Verrucomicrobia (1 example). Nearby to DUF3800
Source: Rfam by way of RNAcentral